AGAGAGAGACAUGCGCGCAUAUCAAUAAGCGGAGGAAAAGAAACUAACAAGGAUUCCCUUAGUAACGGCGAGUGAAGCGGGAAGAGCUCAAAUUUGAAAUCUUCAAGGUUCUACCUUGACGAAUUGUAGUUUAUAGAAGUGUUUUCUGUUAGUGGAGUGGCAAAAGUUCUUUGGAAUAGGACAUCAUAGAGGGUGAGAAUCCCGUAUUUGGUCAUUCCUCCUAGCGUUGUGAUACACUUUCAACGAGUCGGAUUGUUUGGGAAUGCAGUCCAAAAUGGGUGGUAAAUUUCAUCUAAAGCUAAAUAUUGGCGAGAGACCGAUAGCGAACAAGUACCGUGAGGGAAAGAUGAAAAGAACUUUGAAAAGGAGAGUUAAACAGUACGUGAAAUUGUCAAAAGGGAAGCGUUUGACACCAGUGUUGUUUUUCCGAAAAUCAAUUACGAAUGUUUUAUUUUUGAGGAGUUAUGACUUCAUCGGCUUGCUCCUUUCUUUAUGAAACUUUCUUAAUGCACUUUUCGGUUAACAAGUCAACAUCAAUUUCUUUUGUUGUAAAAGGGUAUGAGGAAGGUGGCUUUCUUUUCGGAGAAAGUGUUUAUAGCCUUGUGCCUCUGCAAUCGGAGAGAUUGAGGUCUGCAGCGUAGAUCCUUCGGGGUUAGAUACGUUUGUGCUAAGUUAUAGCUUUUCAUAGACAACUUGUUGACUAUGUUUAGUCUUGUAGCUUACUCGCUGACGCUAUUUUACCUACGCUUAGGAUGUUGAUAGUCACAGCGUGUAC
RNAcentral lists this ribosomal RNA (775 nucleotides) under uncultured Neocallimastigales. RNAcentral describes it as "partial large subunit ribosomal RNA". It matches the Rfam family "Eukaryotic large subunit ribosomal RNA", at positions 23 to 644 of the family's 3401-position model. The record is from RNAcentral. Lineage: Eukaryota; Fungi; Neocallimastigomycota; Neocallimastigomycetes; Neocallimastigales.